Molecule: ribosomal RNA, 510 nt
Filed under: uncultured Croceibacter sp.
Lineage: Bacteria; Pseudomonadati; Bacteroidota; Flavobacteriia; Flavobacteriales; Flavobacteriaceae
Description: bacterial SSU rRNA
Rfam family: Bacterial small subunit ribosomal RNA
Source: RNAcentral
GCCGGCGACCGGCGCACGGGUGCGUAACGCGUAUACAAUUUGCCUUAUACAGGGAGAUAGCCCGGAGAAAUUCGGAUUAAUAUCCCAUAACACUGCGCUAUGGCAUCAUAGUGCAUUUAAAGCUACGGCGGUAUAAGAUGAGUAUGCGUCUGAUUAGCUAGUUGGUGAGGUAACGGCUCACCAAGGCGACGAUCAGUAGGGGGCCUGAGAGGGUUAUCCCCCACACUGGAACUGAGACACGGUCCAGACUCCUACGGGAGGCAGCAGUGAGGAAUAUUGGUCAAUGGAGGCAACUCUGAACCAGCCAUGCCGCGUGUAGGAAGAAUGCCCUAUGGGUUGUAAACUACUUUUAUUGGGGAAGAAACCCUCUUACGUGUAAGAGGCUGACGGUACCCAAGGAAUAAGGACCGGCUAACUCCGUGCCAGCAGCCGCGGUAAUACGGAGGGUCCAAGCGUUAUCCGGAAUCAUUGGGUUUAAAGGGUGCGCAGGCGGCUUUGUAAGUCAGUGGU